This 460-nucleotide ribosomal RNA is filed under the name uncultured bacterium. RNAcentral describes it as "partial 16S ribosomal RNA". It matches the Rfam family "Bacterial small subunit ribosomal RNA", at positions 338 to 795 of the family's 1533-position model. The record is from RNAcentral.
CCUACGGGAGGCAGCAGUGAGGAAUAUUGGUCAAUGGACGAGAGUCUGAACCAGCCAAGUAGCGUGAAGGAUGACUGCCCUAUGGGUUGUAAACUUCUUUUAUAUGGGAAUAAAACGUUCCACGUGUGGGAUUUUGUAUGUACCAUAUGAAUAAGUAUCGGCUAACUCCGUGCCAGCAGCCGCGGUAAUACGGAGGAUCCGAGCGUUAUCCGGAUUUAUUGGGUUUAAAGGGAGCGUAGGUGGAUUGUUAAGUCAGUUGUGAAAGUUUGCGGCUCAACCGUAAAAUUGCAGUUGAAACUGGCAGUCUUGAGUACAGUAGAGGUGGGCGGAAUUCGUGGUGUAGCGGUGAAAUGCUUAGAUAUCACGAAGAACUCCGAUUGCGAAGGCAGUUCACUGGACUGCAACUGACACUGAGGCUCGAAAGUGUGGGUAUCAAACAGGAUUAGAUACCCGAGUAGUC